UACAGAGGUCUCAAGCGUUGUUCGGAUUCAUUGGGCGUAAAGGGUGCGUAGGUGGCGCCGUAAGUCAGUGGUGAAAUUUCGGAGCUUAACUCCGAAACUGCAUUUGAUACUGCGGUGCUUGAGGACUGGAGAGGAGACUGGAAUUCACGGUGUAGCAGUGAAAUGCGUAGAUAUCGUGAGGAAGACCAGUGGCGAAGGCGGGUCUCUGGACAGUUCCUGACACUGAGGCACGAAGGCCAGGGGAGCAAACGGG
Molecule: ribosomal RNA, 253 nt
Filed under: uncultured bacterium
Lineage: Bacteria
Description: partial 16S ribosomal RNA
Rfam family: Bacterial small subunit ribosomal RNA
Source: RNAcentral